UCACUAGUCAGCGCCGGGAGACGGGAGC
This 28-nucleotide small RNA is filed under the name Bombyx mori (domestic silkworm). RNAcentral describes it as "ovarian small RNA-25379". Lineage: Eukaryota; Metazoa; Arthropoda; Insecta; Lepidoptera; Bombycidae. The record is from RNAcentral.